GGGUUGUGAGGUUAAGCGACUAAGCGUACACGGUGGAUGCCCUGGCAGUCAGAGGCGAUGAAGGGCGUGCUAAUCUGCGAUAAGCGCCGGUAAGGUGAUAUGAACCGUUAUAACCGGCGAUACCCGAAUGGGGAAACCCAGUGUGACUCGUCACACUAUCAUUAACUGAAUCCAUAGGUUAAUGAGGCGAACCGGGGGAACUGAAACAUCUAAGUACCCCGAGGAAAAGAAAUCAACCGAGAUUCCCCCAGUAGCGGCGAGCGAACGGGGAGGAGCCCAGAGCCUGAAUCAGCAUGUGUGUUAGUGGAAGCGUCUGGAAAGGCGCGCGAUACAGGGUGACAGCCCCGUACACAAAAGCGCAUGUGCUGUGAGCUCGAUGAGUAGGGCGGGACACGUGGUAUCCUGUCUGAAUAUGGGGGGACCAUCCUCCAAGGCUAAAUACUCCUGACUGACCGAUAGUGAACCAGUACCGUGAGGGAAAGGCGAAAAGAACCCCGGCGAGGGGAGUGAAAAAGAACCUGAAACCGUGUACGUACAAGCAGUGGGAGCACCCUUUGGGUGUGACUGCGUACCUUUUGUAUAAUGGGUCAGCGACUUAUAUUCUGUAGCAAGGUUAACCGAAUAGGGGAGCCGGAGGGAAACCGAGUCUUAAUUGGGCGUUAAGUUGCAGGGUAUAGACCCGAAACCCGGUGAUCUAGCCAUGGGCAGGUUGAAGGUUGGGUAACACUAACUGGAGGACCGAACCGACUAAUGUUGAAAAAUUAGCGGAUGACCUGUGGCUGGGGGUGAAAGGCCAAUCAAACCGGGAGAUAGCUGGUUCUCCCCGAAAGCUAUUUAGGUAGCGCCUCGUGAAUUCAUCUCCGGGGGUAGAGCACUGUUUCGGCUAGGGGGCCAUCCCGGCUUACCAACCCGAUGCAAACUGCGAAUACCGGAGAAUGUUAUCACGGGAGACACACGGCGGGUGCUAACGUCCGUCGUGAAGAGGGAAACAACCCAGACCGCCAGCUAAGGUCCCAAAGUCAUGGUUAAGUGGGAAACGAUGUGGGAAGGCCCAGACAGCCAGGAUGUUGGCUUAGAAGCAGCCAUCAUUUAAAGAAAGCGUAAUAGCUCACUGGUCGAGUCGGCCUGCGCGGAAGAUGUAACGGGGCUAAACCAUGCACCGAAGCUGCGGCAGCGACGCUUAUGCGUUGUUGGGUAGGGGAGCGUUCUGUAAGCCUGCGAAGGUGGCCUGUGAGGGUUGCUGGAGGUAUCAGAAGUGCGAAUGCUGACAUAAGUAACGAUAAAGCGGGUGAAAAGCCCGCUCGCCGGAAGACCAAGGGUUCCUGUCCAACGUUAAUCGGGGCAGGGUGAGUCGACCCCUAAGGCGAGGCCGAAAGGCGUAGUCGAUGGGAAACGGGUUAAUAUUCCCGUACUUGGUGUUACUGCGAAGGGGGGACGGAGAAGGCUAUGUUGGCCGGGCGACGGUUGUCCCGGUUUAAGCGUGUAGGUGUGUGUUCCAGGUAAAUCCGGUUCACUUUAACACUGAGGCGUGACGACGAGGCACUACGGUGCUGAAGCAACAAAUGCCCUGCUUCCAGGAAAAGCCUCUAAGCAUCAGGUAACAUCAAAUCGUACCCCAAACCGACACAGGUGGUCAGGUAGAGAAUACCAAGGCGCUUGAGAGAACUCGGGUGAAGGAACUAGGCAAAAUGGUGCCGUAACUUCGGGAGAAGGCACGCUGACACGUAGGUGAAGUGAUUUACUCAUGGAGCUGAAGUCAGUCGAAGAUACCAGCUGGCUGCAACUGUUUAUUAAAAACACAGCACUGUGCAAACACGAAAGUGGACGUAUACGGUGUGACGCCUGCCCGGUGCCGGAAGGUUAAUUGAUGGGGUCAGCGCAAGCGAAGCUCCUGAUCGAAGCCCCGGUAAACGGCGGCCGUAACUAUAACGGUCCUAAGGUAGCGAAAUUCCUUGUCGGGUAAGUUCCGACCUGCACGAAUGGCGUAAUGAUGGCCAGGCUGUCUCCACCCGAGACUCAGUGAAAUUGAACUCGCUGUGAAGAUGCAGUGUACCCGCGGCAAGACGGAAAGACCCCGUGAACCUUUACUAUAGCUUGACACUGAACAUUGAGCCUUGAUGUGUAGGAUAGGUGGGAGGCUUUGAAGUGUGGACGCCAGUCUGCAUGGAGCCGACCUUGAAAUACCACCCUUUAAUGUUUGAUGUUCUAACGUGGACCCGUUACCCGGGUUGCGGACAGUGUCUGGUGGGUAGUUUGACUGGGGCGGUCUCCUCCUAAAGAGUAACGGAGGAGCACGAAGGUUGGCUAAUCCUGGUCGGACAUCAGGAGGUUAGUGCAAUGGCAUAAGCCAGCUUGACUGCGAGCGUGACGGCGCGAGCAGGUGCGAAAGCAGGUCAUAGUGAUCCGGUGGUUCUGAAUGGAAGGGCCAUCGCUCAACGGAUAAAAGGUACUCCGGGGAUAACAGGCUGAUACCGCCCAAGAGUUCAUAUCGACGGCGGUGUUUGGCACCUCGAUGUCGGCUCAUCACAUCUGGGGCUGAAGUAGGUCCCAAGGGUAUGGCUGUUCGCCAUUUAAAGUGGUACGCGAGCUGGGUUUAGAACGUCGUGAGACAGUUCGGUCCCUAUCUGCCGUGGGCGCUGGAGAACUGAGGGGGGCUGCUCCUAGUACGAGAGGACCGGAGUGGACGCAUCACUGGUGUUCGGGUUGUCAUGCCAAUGGCACUGCCCGGUAGCUAAAUGCGGAAGAGAUAAGUGCUGAAAGCAUCUAAGCACGAAACUUGCCCCGAGAUGAGUUCUCCCUGAGACUUAAAGUCUCCUGAAGGAACGUUGAAGACGACGACGUUGAUAGGCCGGGUGUGUAAGCGCAGCGAUGCGUUGAGCUAACCGGUACUAAUGAACCGUGAGGCUUAACCUUACAACGCCGAAG
RNAcentral lists this ribosomal RNA (2925 nucleotides) under Salmonella enterica subsp. enterica serovar Enteritidis. RNAcentral's name for it is "bacterial LSU rRNA". It matches the Rfam family "Bacterial large subunit ribosomal RNA". Lineage: Bacteria; Pseudomonadati; Pseudomonadota; Gammaproteobacteria; Enterobacterales; Enterobacteriaceae. The record is from RNAcentral.